RNAcentral lists this transfer RNA (77 nucleotides) under Halomonas daqiaonensis. RNAcentral describes it as "tRNA_Val_CAC". The stretch from base 1 to 69 matches the Rfam family "tRNA". From Rfam's summary of the family: Transfer RNA (tRNA) molecules are approximately 80 nucleotides in length. Their secondary structure includes four short double-helical elements and three loops (D, anti-codon, and T loops). The record is from RNAcentral. Lineage: Bacteria; Pseudomonadati; Pseudomonadota; Gammaproteobacteria; Oceanospirillales; Halomonadaceae.
GGGUGAUUAGCUCAGUUGGUUAGAACACCAGCCUCACACGCCGGAGGUCACGGGUUCGAGUCCCGUCCAAACCACCA